This 253-nucleotide ribosomal RNA is filed under the name uncultured bacterium. Its description in RNAcentral is "partial 16S ribosomal RNA". It matches the Rfam family "Bacterial small subunit ribosomal RNA", at positions 524 to 776 of the family's 1533-position model. The record is from RNAcentral.
UACAUGGGGUGCAAACGUUGCUCGGAAUUAUUGGGCGUAAAGCGCACGUAGGCGGUUCGUUAAGUCGGAUGUGAAAGCCCUCGGCUCAACUGAGGAAGUGCACCCGAAACUGGCGAGCUUGAGUACGAAAGAGGAUCGCGGAAUUCCCGGUGUAGAGGUGAAAUUCGUAGAUAUUCGGAAGAACACCAGUGGCGAAGGCGACACACUGGCCCGUUACUGACGCUGAGGCGCGAAAGCGUGGGGAGCAAACAGG